UUCUCACCUGUGUAUAUUAUUAUUUAUUUAUUUAAAAACAUUUUUUAGUUAACAAGCAUGUUUUUCCUCAAAAACCAUUUUUUAAAAAAUCAUUGAUUUUUAUUCACCCUGCUUCCAAAGUAGAUAGGACCUGAAUGUUUAAUGUAAAAAAAGUGAAACACUUUUUGACAAACUUCUUUUAGACAAUCCAAAAGAACCAAAAAAUUAUACAAGUCAGUUAUUUCCCUCGUUGCAAGUCAUCUUUAGUGACUCCACUUUUUACAGUGAACUGAAAGUUCUUUCCCCAUCUUUUAAGGUGAAAAACUCAUGCAUAUAGGGAGUGCAGUGCCUUAGACAGUGAAAAUUUGUUAAAUAUGUAAUCUCGUCAGUAACCCUAUUUCAUAGAAGCAACUUUUACUGUGCAUGGUAGUGUGGUUAUUUUUAAGAAGGAAAUGAUUAACUUCACCUCAUUUUUCUGAUUAACCUAGAUCUUAUUGUGUGAGACAAAAAUUAAUUUUUCGUCUAUGUAAUGUUUGAAAAUGGAAUUAGCUGUUAACACUGAGAGUGUUAAUUUUAUAAGCAUUUUAUCACAGUUUCUCCUUGAGUCGAAAACUGACCUUUUUCACUCACUGCAUGACUGAGCAUGUAAUACAGAUUAAAUGCCCUGAAAUAAAACUAAAUAGGACUUUCUUCGGGAACCUGCAAGAAUAUCAUGUUGCUAUUUUGUUUCCAAAAUGCAUGAAGUUUCAAAAGUAUAUCUUAAGUCAAUGGGAAAGGGGAAGUAAAUGAAAAGCUAAAGUAUUAAAAACCUACUGAAAUCAUAACUAUGCUCAUUUUUUUGCAAUAUAGAGGUGUUCAAAUUCAAAAGCAAAUUUAAGAAUUCAAAACAUGUAUAGUGCUCUAAAGUGGACCCCCGCCCCAAGUGGAUAUACGGUUGGCGCAAUGAUUAGGGAGACAAUAUACAAAAACUGGAAAUCUGAAACUAUUUUUAAAUGGAAAAGCAGAAUGCUCCUGCAUGAUUAAAUCAUGUUGAGCCGUUUCCCAACAGAUAACCACAUGACUAUACUUGAUAAGAGUUGUUGUUUUUACAAAAAAUGUAUAUUAUAUUGCUGGGUCAGUGGUCCUAGUGCAGAACUAGUUGGAAUUCUCCAAGCUGUACAUUUAGACCUCAGCAGGCAGCACACAUCAGUUACGAUUUACAACACCCCCUGUUGCCUGUUUUUUCUUCACUGCUGAUGUUGGGGGAAUUCCUCUGACAACUGUUGCUAUUGUAGCAGUAGCUGACUUUAGUCUUUCAUAUUAUUUUUUAAAUGAAUUUACCUCUAACGUGUAAUUCUGAACAUUAUGAAGAGAUCCAACCUCAGCAUCUCAUGGACCUUAAAUUUACUUUUAUAGCCUCAUUUGAGUUUUCUUAUAGACACUGGGUUUAUACUGUAUUUGUUGUUGUUGCUAUGUACUGUUCUACUUUUAGAAAAGGUCAGAGGAGUAGUCCAGUGGCUUUAGAAAAGGUCAGAGGCGUAGUCCAUUGCCCUGGAUGUAGUCAUAAGAUGUCCAUUACAGAUGCACCUGACUAUUGCUUGAGAUGUCUCUUAGUGAGCCAUAGCUUGUUGAUUAAGGAAUCUAUGCUCAGAUUCCACUGCAAGCUGCUAGGUCUCAGGGUGAGCAACACAAACUUCUCUUGAUCUCAUAAAGGCUUCUGCUAAGUAGCUGAGAAGGCCUCAAAGCAUAAGUCUGCAAGUACUUCAGUACUUGUAACCAGAUGAGUCUUUGUUUUGGUACCAAAAUAGGCUUCAGGGCAGCUCCUCUGGCAUUUUUACAAGUGGCCAGCUGCUCCCUCCAGGUUAGUCAGGGGCACACCAGAGCUUUGGUAUGCUUUCAGCAUUGGUUAUACUCCAUUCCAAAUUUAAAUUUGAAGUACCACCUCCCGAGACGGAAGUCUACCUCUGUGAGAGACCUUCUAUCUCCACUGAUAAUACCUUAUCUGUCUUUCUUUGUGGAGAUCUCUUUCUGGUUACUUUAGCUUCAACAGCAUUGGUGGUGUUGGGACAGACCUAUGGCUUUGAGCUACAGUUAAGCUCGUAUAGCUUGAAGAACACAUUUCAUCACAUAGCUUUAGCUUUGUCAGUGACGCCUCCACCACAUUUCAUUGCUGGCUGAAACCCUGAUCUAGAGCCAGCUUUGAGCUUUCAGAGCCAUUAGUGUGCUGGGGUAAUGAUGCCAAUACCUACAUUUCUCUUUUCAGUGCUCUUGAUUUACUUUGAAAUACUUCAGUAUUUACUCCAAUGCCAUUGUUACAUUGUUUAUCCCAAUGGUGUCAAUGUUUUUGGCGUCAAUGUCUUUCACACUAUUAGGGUUUACUUAGAAAAUGUAGCCUAUGUUGUAUUUCCAUCUAUGUUCAUGUUUUUCUAGUUCUUCAAUUUGGAGUACUUCCUCCAAGUGCUUAAAACAUCUAGAAAAAGUCUCCAUGUCUUUCUGAUAAUUAAGACCCAAAGAAGGAUGUUUAUUUUUCCUCCCUCAGUGCUUUCCUAUGUAUUGUAUUAUAGGGGUAAUUCAGAAGUGAUGGAAUUGCUCCCUUUCCCUUUAAGGCUGUCUGUGGUAUCUACUGAUUGAGAGAACUUACACCCCAAACUUGACUCUGUUGGCAUAGAACUAUCAUUUGAUUGCCAACUGCAUUAUUCAGAUUUCUAAACUUUACCACAAUUAGGGUGAAGUUAGUAUUUCUGAGACUUAAUGAGGGCCUGGUUUCACUUAUUUUCUCACAAUUUGCAUCUCAUUUGCAUGACCUCUAGUCUACCUUUAUCUGUGUCAUUGGUUCCAACAUGGGAGGAAACCUUUUUCUUAUUCGAAGCGCCUGACCAAAGCUUGUCCAGUCAUGAAAUAUCAUCUCCCUACUACUCGUGGGGCAACAAACCAUAUAAGAUUUAGUAAUAGUAUAACUGCCUUACCCAUCUCAUUUGUAAGUAAUUACCCUUCUCUACUGCCACCUUUCCUUCUGUUCUAUGAUCCCUUAGUUCUAUAUUUACACUUUAUCAUCUUCACAUUGUCUUAAGACUUUUGGGAAACGGAUAACUUUACUAUAUAUACCAUUCCUAUUAUGUUGAUUACAUUUUUAUCUUCUGCUUUUAGAAAACUAAGCUCUUAUUUAAAUACAUUCUUUAUAUUUUGACUUUAUUUGUAUAAUGAAGCAGCUCAUAAAAGUUUGAUGUUGUACAGUGUUCCUGGAUAGUUCUUAGUAAUAAAGCCCUUACACUGUUUACCAUUAUUUCUGGGAUUUGCAUCAGAUUACCCAUAUUUACCUAUCAAUCCCUACUCUUCCUUCCUCCAGAUCCUAUAGCAGUACCUGUUAUGGUUGAUUUAUUGAAUUCUUUUCUGGUAGCACAGCUAUGGUUUCUGCUUUGAUUGCCCCAGAGAACAAAUGACUAACCUUUGAAUUGAUAGUCUUUUUAAUUAAGUUAAUCCAAACAACAGUUCAUCACAAUUCACUUUACUUGAUUUCUUAUGUAAAAUUUUAGUACUCAGUCAACAUUGCACAGUUACUCACAUUGGCAUCAGUGUCAGUUCUGUAUACAAACUGGGAAAAGUGAGAAUGUUUUUGUUUAACUUACUCUUAAAUAACUUUAUUUGUAGUUUUUAAAAAUGCAUCUCAUGUUUUAGUUGGAGUAUUUUAUGAUCCAAAGCUUGAAUCAGAAGUCCUCUGAAAAAAUGAAGAAAAGAAAAAAAAGCCACAAGUGCCAUGGAGUUAAACCGCCUCAGCUUGAACAGCCAGAAAAAAUGCCAAUCUUAAAAGGUGAAGCCUCGCAUUAUAACUCCGAUUUACAUAACUUGCUGAUCUGCUGCCAGUGUGUGGAUGUGAUAUUUUACUCAGAAGAUUUAAAGGAAGUAGUAGAAGCACACAAGAUUGUUUUGUGCUCUGUAAGCCAUGUCUUCAUGUUACUUUUCAAUGUGAAGAGUCCAGCUGAUAUUCAGGAUUCCUCUAUCAUAAGGACUGCACAGACUCUCUUUGCAGUGAACAGUGAGGCUGUGUUUCCAGUUUCUAACCGAGGUUCACCAUGCGGCCCACCGGUUCGAGUCACUGUUAAAGACUCUUUCUUCUGUUUUUGUUUGUCAGACAUUCUGCACUUCAUUUAUUCAGGUGCUUUCCAAUGGGAAUUGUUGGAAGAAGAUAUAAAAAAGAAGUUGAAAGACCCAGGAGAAGUUGAGCUUGUGCUUGAGAAAGUUAAAUGUAUCCUGAAAACUCCAGGAAAGGUGAAUAGUUCAAAGAAUUGCAGAUCUCAUCAGACAGCAAGACCCUUGCAGUUAUGUGAUACUUCUCUCAGGCUUUUCUUUAACACACAUGUGUUAGCUGAUGUCAUCUUCCAAAUACAAGGUGCUACUGUACCAGCCCACAGAGCAGUUCUAGUGGCUCGCUGUGAAGUAAUGGCAGCUAUGUUUAAUGGAAGUUAUAUAGAAGCAAAUAGUUUUCUGGUUCCAGUUUAUGGGGUUUCCAAAGAUACCUUCCUCUCCUUUCUAGAGUAUCUGUAUACUGAUUCCUGUUGUCCAGCCAGUAUUUUGCAAGCCAUGUCUCUCUUGAUUUGUGCUGAGAUGUACCAGGUAUCCAGACUCCAGCAUAUCUGUGAGCUUUAUAUCAUCACACAGCUGCAGAGUAUGCCUAGUAGGGAAUUAGCAUCUACAAGUCUUAGCGUUGUCAGCUUGCUCAGAAAAGCCAAGUUUCACAACUCUGACUGCCUUUCAACUUGGCUCCUUCAUUUUAUUGCCACUAACUACCUCAUCUUCAGUCAAAAGCCUGAAUUUCAAGAUCUUUCAGCGGAAGAGCGCAAUUUUGUUGAGAUGCACAGAUGGCCUUCCCAUAUGUACUUGAAACAGCUUGCAGAUUACAGGAAUUACAUCAACUCCCAGAAAUGCCACUGCAUAGUAAUGUAACCAGAAGAUUGAUUAUUCAUAAACUGGAGAAUCACAGGCUGGGAAUUACAUGGAGGCUAUUAAAACUGUAGCAGGGAUGAAAAUAAACAUUUAAGUCCUGCUGUACUCUAUAAUGUGCUUGCUAAUACUCUUUUCAUUAAUAAUGAAUUACUGUGACGUUUUAAAGGGAUUAAGAAAUAUACCAUAGGACAGCAUAAGGAGUUAAUCAGGCCUGGUCUACACUACAAAGUUAGGCGGAUGUAAACCGCAUGUGCAUGCCUAUACCUAAAUUUGUCUCUUAUUGAUGUAAGUGCCCCGUUAACAGCAAUGCAGUAACACUACCUCCCUGAGCAGCAUUAAGCCAUGGUUGAUGUACUGAGGUCGACGCAACACAAGUGUAAACACUGUGUUACUUAUAUGAAUUCUAACAGUCCUCCAGCAGCUGUUCCACAGUGUCUGACGCUAAUCUCUUUGGUCACAAUUGUGAAUGCCAUUGUCCAGGGGUCAUGGAGACUGGAAGGCCCUCCCUCUGUUUUAAAGCCCUGCAAAUUUUUGAAAUGGCUUUGCCUGAUUGUCCAACUGGAGAGCACACCUAGCAGCUCUCCAUUGUGUGCAGCUGUGCAGCUGACCAUGGCGGCUACAUGCUCCAGACACACUCCAGCUUGGAGUAGACAAGAGAUAUUGGAUCCUCUGGACCUGUGGGGAGAAGAGGCUGUGUAAGCACAGCUACGGACCAGCCAUAGAAAAGUAAACAUCUAUGACCAGAUUGCACAGGGGAUGUCGGAGGAGGAGUACAACAGGGGCCAGCAGCAGUGCUUUGUGAAAGUGAAGGAAUUUGGUCAGCCAUAUCGAGAGGCCAACAAUCAUUCUGGUGCUAACCUGCAGACCUGCCACUUUUACAAAGAGCUGCAUGCCAUAAUUGUCAGAGACCCUACUGAUAUCCCGCACAUAACCAUGGAUACCUUUGAGGACCCCAGGCCACAGGUCCCUGGCAUGAACAGCUAGGAGGAGGAUGGGGGACAUGCGACAAGGGAGCCAGGACCUGUUUUGAGACUCCACCGCAAUCCAGUCAAUCCCAGCAGUUGAGCACUGGUGAGCUCAAUGCAGGGGAAGGAACUUUGGCUACUGCCAUUGCGGCUCUGAGAGGUUCCCCCCUCCGCACCUGAGGAAAGCGUGAGCUAGAUGAGGAGAAAGAGGAGGACUCGGGAUGACAUGUUCAAUGAGAUCCUGCAAGCCAGUGCUGCGUGAGACCGUGAGAAAAGGGUCUGGAGGGUGAACAUUACAGACAGCCUGGGGAAGAUAAAAACGGAGAAGAGAGAGGCCCAGGAGUCCCAGCAGGAAAAGGAGAGGGAGAUGCACCAAGACAUAAUGGAGCUUCUCCAACAGCAAACAGAGAUGCUGCAGACUCUUGUGGGCUUAGUUUCAACAAUCCCAGGUUCUCCUCCCUUUGCAGUCCAUGGCAAACUCCAUAACAGCACCUCCCUAUGCUCUCCCACCUACAUUCCAUGUGGUAUCAGGGGCUUUAUCCCUAUCCCUCCCACUCCAUCCCAGCAGACAUUAAGGACAACCACAGCCUCACAAACUGAUCUGUGAAAUCCAUGGUUGCUGUAUACAUAGAUUAAUGGACAGGAAUGUUCUUUCCGCUGGUUUUUCUGUUUCAUUAAUUUAUUAAGUUUUUAAUGUAUUUGCUUUUAAAUUGCACAGAUUUUUCUUUGCACUGGUUUUGCUACUGAAUAACAUUCUAUUUGGAAAAUAAUCUUUUAGUUCACAACACAUGCUUCAGAGUGCCUAGCAAUUCUGAAAGCACCUACUUAAUUAUUACUGUACAGUGUGGCACAACUCAUAGGAUCAGUGACAAACCGCAUAUAAUCAUAAAUGUACAGCAAGCACAACAAAAUUAAGAGGACAUUGACAGUGCUAUAUUCAUAGAUGUACACUACACAAUUCCUAACAGGCCCCAAAACAGCAAGGCCAGGUAGAGCAGAGUACAUCACACGGUACUGUGGCUCACUGUUAAAAUGGUCUUCAAAGCCUCUCUGAGCUGUAUGAUUUGGUGUUGAGAUCUUCUAAUGGCUCUUGUGUUUGGCUGUUCUAACUCAGCAGACUGCCAGUCCACUCUGGCGGAAAGUUUUCCCCCUUUGCUUCCCUGAGAUUAUGCAGAACACAGCAGGCAGCUAUAACCAUUGGGAUGUCUUUUUUUUUUUCACUGAGAUCCAGUCUUGAGUAAACAACACAGGCAUCCCUUCAGUCUUCCAAAAGUACAUUCAACUGUCUUUCUGCACCUGCUAAGCCAAUAGCAAAAUCUUUCCAUGGUGCUGUUGGGGUGGCCAGUGUACGGCUUCAUGAGCCAGGGGAGUCAAGGGGUAGGCUGGGUCUCCCAGGAUUGCUAUUGGUAUUUCAACAUCACCAGUGGUAAUCUGCCAGUUGGGAAAGAAAGUCCCUGCUUGUAGCUUUCUGAACAGUCCUAUAUUUUUAAAGAUGCAAGGAUCAUGCACAUUCCUUGACCAGCCAAAGUUGAUGUCAGUGAGGAGACCCUAGUGAUCCACCAAUGCUUGCACAACUAUAGAAAAGUAGCCCUUUCUGUUGACGUACUCUGUGGCAAGAUGGGCUUGUGCCAAAAUAGGGAUAUGUAUGCUAUCUUUGCUUCACCACAGUUCAGAAAUGCCUUUACUGAAAAUCCUUCCAGCAUGUCCUGCACAUUGCUGAGUCACAGUACUGUAUAGCAAGAGAUGAUUAGUGGCCUUGCACACUUGCAUGACAGUGGCCCCCUUAGUGGAUUUUCCAACUCCAAAAUAAUUUUGCACUUACCAGUAGCAAUCUGACAUUGCAGGUUUCCACCGUGCAAUCACUACUUUCUUCUCCACCAUCAGUGCAGCUCUCAUUUUGAUGUCCCUAUAUUGGAGGGCUGAGGCAAGCUUGGCACACAGAUUCAGGAAUAUGGCCUUGCGCAGCCGAAAGUUCUGCAGCCGCUGCUCAUCAUCCUACGCCUACAUUAUGAUGUGAUCCUACCAGUCAGUGCUCAUUUCUUGGUUCCAGUUUGAACACCAGCAACAACCUUGAAUUUGUUCUUGCUAUGUCCCAGAGCAGUCUGUGCUCCAAGAUACUGUUGUGUUCCCUGUUUAUUCGUGGAUGUUAUGGCUCUGCAAACAUCGGAAGAUCAUGCGUCCUGUGCUUGCAAUGCUUGUGACAAUAGUGCAGAGCUGUGCAAGUGCCAUGCUUCUGUCAGAAACGGUGGACAGUGAGGAGGGCUGCAUAGGUUCAUGGGAAAAAGGCAUGAAAAUUAUGGGAUAUAGAUAACAUUAUGGCAUGGAUUGAAUAAAAACAAUUGCAAACUGGCCCCUUGCCCCCUGUCACUGCUCUUGAUGUGUUUCUGCCCCACCAUACAUUGCCAAAACAUCCUAAAAGACAGUGAAUUGGACAAUAGUGGGUUGCACUGAGAUACCUACCCUGCAUUGACACCAGCACUCGUGAGUAUGUGUAAUACUUACGCAAGAAGCCAAGUAUGCAUACACAUGAGUGAUGUACUAACAAUGGUGGCUUUAUGCUGAUGUAACUUGCGUCAACCAAAGUUUGCAGUGUAGACAUGGUCUCUGUUGUUUAGCUGCAACCUGUUUUCCCUAAGGAUUCUUUGCUGCAAUACUGGUGGUUUCAACUUCUAGAUGAGGUGUUGAAAACAUUUUAACUUUUGUAAAUCUUUUGUUUAACCUUCUAUGCGUGAGAUUUUCAAUGAAGUGUAAGAGAGUUCGGUACUCAGCUUUCUGAUGCUCUUUUGAAUAUCCCACCCUACCUGCUUAUUUUAGCCUAGGAUCAUCACAUGAUCCUUGUAACAUAUUUAUGGGCUUUCUAGGUAAAGAGUAUGGUCAAAAUAUUAGGGUAAGUGUAUAACUAUUCCCUGCAUAAGUUGCCCUUACAAUCAUAUGAACUGGUAUUUUCUCUCUAGCUAGGUGCUUUUAUGGCCCCAUCGUUGUACUGUCUGAGCGCCUCCUGUGUAUUUAAAAAUAGAAAUAACAAUCUUCCCAACCUGUAGGAGAAAAAGCUGGUUUAAUUUUUAGGGCUGUGUGUGUGUGUGUGUGUGUGUGUGUGUGUGUGU
Molecule: non-coding RNA, 8968 nt
Organism: Chrysemys picta bellii (western painted turtle)
Lineage: Eukaryota; Metazoa; Chordata; Testudines; Emydidae
Source: RefSeq, a predicted model, not a curated record